GACGAACGCUGGCGGCGUGCCUGAUACAUGCAAGUUGAGCGAUGAAGAUUGGUGCUUGCACCAAUUUGAAGAGCAGCGAACGGGUGAGUAACGCGUGGGGAAUCUGCCUUUGAGCGGGGGACAACAUUUGGAAACGAAUGCUAAUACCGCAUAAUAACUUUAAACAUAAGUUUUAAGUUUGAAAGAUGCAAUUGCAUCACUCAAAGAUGAUCCCGCGUUGUAUUAGCUAGUUGGUGAGGUAAAGGCUCACCAAGGCGAUGAUACAUAGCCGACCUGAGAGGGUGAUCGGCCACAUUGGGACUGAGACACGGCCCAAACUCCUACGGGAGGCAGCAGUAGGGAAUCUUCGGCAAUGGACGAAAGUCUGACCGAGCAACGCCGCGUGAGUGAAGAAGGUUUUCGGAUCGUAAAACUCUGUUGGUAGAGAAGAACGUUGGUGAGAGUGGAAAGCUCAUCAAGUGACGGUAACUACCCAGAAAGGGACGGCUAACUACGUG
Molecule: ribosomal RNA, 497 nt
Filed under: uncultured bacterium
Lineage: Bacteria
Description: partial 16S ribosomal RNA
Rfam family: Bacterial small subunit ribosomal RNA
Source: RNAcentral